This 497-nucleotide ribosomal RNA is filed under the name uncultured bacterium. RNAcentral describes it as "partial 16S ribosomal RNA". It matches the Rfam family "Bacterial small subunit ribosomal RNA", at positions 28 to 507 of the family's 1533-position model. The record is from RNAcentral.
GAUGAACGCUGGCGGCGUGCCUAAUACAUGCAAGUCGAGCGAACGGACGAGAAGCUUGCUUCUCUGAUGUUAGCGGCGGACGGGUGAGUAACACGAGGAUAACCUACCUAUAAGACUGGGAUAACUUCGGGAAACCGGAGCUAAUACCGGAUAAUAUUUUGAACCGCAUGGUUCAAAAGUGAAAGACGGUCUUGCUGUCACUUAUAGAUGGAUCCGCGCUGCAUUAGCUAGUUGGUAAGGUAACGGCUUACCAAGGCAACGAUGCAUAGCCGACCUGAGAGGGUGGUAGGCCACACUGGAACUGAGACACGGUCCCGACUCCUAAGGGAGGCAGCAGUAGGGAAUCUUCCGCAAAGGGCGAAAGCCUGACGGAGCAACGCCGCGUGAGUGAUGAAGGUCUUCGGAUCGUAAAACUCUGUUAUUAGGGAAGAACAUAUGUGUAAGUAACUGUGCACAUCUUGACGGUACCUAAUCAGAAAGCCACGGCUAACUACGUG